UACGGAGGGAGCUAGCGUUUUUCGGAAUUACUGGGCGUAAAGAGCGUGUAGGCGGCUAAUUAAGUUGGAAGUGAAAGCCCGGGGCUUAACCCUGGAACUGCUUCCAAAACUGAUUAGCUAGAGAUUGGUAGAGGAUGGUGGAAUUCCUAGUGUAGAGGUGAAAUUCUUAGAUAUUAGGAGGAACAUCAAUGGCGAAGGCAACCAUCUGGACCAUUUCUGACGCUGAGACGCGAAAGCGUGGGGAGCAAACAGG
This 253-nucleotide unclassified non-coding RNA is filed under the name uncultured Rickettsiales bacterium. RNAcentral's name for it is "contains 16S-23S intergenic spacer region". It matches the Rfam family "Bacterial small subunit ribosomal RNA", at positions 524 to 776 of the family's 1533-position model. Lineage: Bacteria; Pseudomonadati; Pseudomonadota; Alphaproteobacteria; Rickettsiales. The record is from RNAcentral.